Molecule: ribosomal RNA, 666 nt
Filed under: uncultured Bacillota bacterium
Lineage: Bacteria; Bacillati; Bacillota
Description: bacterial SSU rRNA
Rfam family: Bacterial small subunit ribosomal RNA
Source: RNAcentral
AGUCGAGGGGCAGCGCGGGGCGGCAACGUCCUGGCGGCGACCGGCGGAAGGGUGCGUAACGCGUGAGCGACAUGCCCGUUGCCCGGGGACAACCGGUGGAAACGCCGACUAAUCCCCGAUGGGACGGAGGCCCUCAUGGGUCUCUGUUGAAAGUUACGGCGGCGACGGAUUGGCUCGCGUCCGAUUAGCUUGUUGGCGGGGUAACGGCCCACCAAGGCUACGAUCGGUAGGGGUUCUGAGAGGAAGGUCCCCCUCAAUGGAACUGAGACACGGUCCAUACUCCUACGGGAGGCAGCAGUGAGGAAUAUUGGUCAAUGGGCGGAAGCCUGAACCAGCCAUGCCGCGUGCGGGAAGGAGGCCCUAUGGGCUGUGAACCGCUUUUGCCUGGGGGCAAUAAGGGCGUCGCGCACGUCCGAUGAGAGUACCAGGGGAAUAAGCAUCGGCUAACUCCGUGCCAGCAGCCGCGGUAAUACGGGGGAUGCGAGCGUUAUCCGGAUUCAUUGGGUUUAAAGGGCGCGUAGGCUGUGCGUCAAGUCAGGGGUGAAAUUCCGGGGCUCAACUCCGGGGCUGCCCUUGAUACUGUCGCGCUGGAGUGCGGAUGCCGCCGGAGGAAUGAGUGGUGUAGCGGUGAAAUGCUUAGAUAUCACUCAGAACACCGAUUGCGAA